ACUUGGUAAUUAUGCUUUUAGCUGACUCCUAACUCUUGCCAUGGAACUUUGGCUGCCAGGGAGGGAUUUCAGGGAACCAAAGGGACUUCGGGGAGGCUGGCUGCACUCCAGGUUCUGGGUAGUGAUCUAGUUGUGGGGACUAGGGUUGUUUUCACUUUGCAGGGUGGUCUUCGGUCUUCUGGCAAAAAUCUUUGAACGUGGCUUGGACUCCAGUCCAGACCCUCUGGUUCUCUUAGGCGAGCACUGAUUCUUCUUAGCUGCUAUCAGAGUUCCACGGCGACCCUCACCAGCACUCCUGGACACCCUCUUCAGCCUUGCAAUCACCCAAGACUCUGAGACAUUCUCUCAACUUCAUUUGCCCUUGUGGGUUGCCAGUCCCAGUUCAAAGAUCAUUGUUUCUCUCAUAGUUCCUUCCAUUCCCAGACCAGCAGGAGCAUCUGGGAGGCCCAGGAUGAAGGGAGGCAGUAAGCUCAACGGCCCGGCCAUCUUUCACUGACAUCCGCCUCAGGGGUAUCAGGAGUGAUUCCAUUACCAAGAGACCCCUCAUCAACUCAAUAGACUGUAUUCCCAUUCCAUUGGGACCGAAUUCCUGCACACAGCUUCUUUUGGAAAUGGAAUCAGAAGAACAGUUUCCAGAGCUCACCUCACAUUCUUGAAACUCCUCCUCCUCCAGCGGGAAGCAACCACGGAGAGGGCCCGAGGAGGCCCUAUGGUCGAGACUUUUAGGGUCCCGAAGUGGUUGUGGCAGGCAGCUUUUUAGUGAACCAGGCUGACUCUGCCUGUCCCAUUUUCCUCUGCUUAGGCAGGCUGACAGCCCUGACAGUUCAAUCCCAAGGCUGCCUCGCAAAUGCGCAUGCGCCAGUCUCAGCGCACAGUGAGUAACCGGUGAGCUAAGGCUUGCCUCACAGUGAAUGCAGCCGUUGACUGGUGACAAGUAUCUGUGGCUUGGCAGAGAAGGAGACCUCUGUGGACCUGCGUCCACAUUAGACUCUAGCCUGUCUUCUUUGAAGGAUCCACGUGAUAUUCCCACAAUCCUAGGAGAUGGCAGUGGAGAGUCAGCCUGAAGAAAUUUCAAGCAGACCUUCAGAAAUACAGCGCGAUAACCCCAAGGAGCCAAAAGGACCUGCAGGAUGUGUCAGGCCUGCUUAAAUGGUAUUGAUGCUGACAGCCCUGACUGUUCAGCUCCCAAGGCUGCCUCGCGAAUGCCCAUGCGCCAGAAUCCGAGCUCCUUGCGCAAGCGGUGAGGGAAGGCUCCCGUCAGUGACUGUCACUGUUGCCGGGCGACAAGUAUCUGUGGCUUGGCGGAGAAAGAGACCUCUGUGGGGUACGUCGGCGUUGGACUCUUGCCUGUCUUCUUUGAAGGAUCCACGUGAUAGUCCCACAAUCCUAGGAGAUGGCAGUGGUGAAUCAGCCUGAAGAAAUCUUAAGCGGAGCUUCAGAAAUACAAUGCGAAAUCCCUAAGGAUCCAAAAGGACCCGCAGGAUGUGGCAGGCCUGCCUAGACUGUUUGAGGACUGCUGUGCUGAGAAGCAGGAGCAUCUGUGAGGCCCAGAAUGAAGUGUGGCAGUGAGUUCAAGGACCCGGCCAUCUUUCAAUGACAUGCACCUCCGGUAUAUCAGGAAUGAUUUCAUCACCCCAAGACCCCUCAACAUUUCACCAAUUCCAUCACACAGCCUCUUUUGGGAAUGGAAUCAGAAGAACCAUUCCCAGUGCCCACCUUAAAUUCUAGAAACUUCUCCCCCUCCACUGGAGCCCAACCACGGAGACAACCCGAGGAGGCCCUAUGGUGGAGACUUAUAGGGUCUCCCUGUGGUUAUCUCAGACAGCCUUAUUCCCGAGGCCAGGCUGGCUCUGCCUAUACUAUUUUUCUCUGGUUAGGCAGACUGACAGCCCUGAUGGUUCAGCUCCCAAGGCUGCCUCGUGAAUGUGCAUGCGCCAGUCUCUGGGCACCUUGAGCAAGCUGUGAGCGAAGGCUUGCGCCACAGUGAAUUCCACUGUUGCCUGGCUGCAAGUGUCUGUGGCUUGGCAGAGAAGAAGACCUCUGUGGACGUGGGUACGCGUUGGAGUUUCACCUGUCUUCAUUGAAAGAUCCACAUGAUAGUCUCACAAUCCUAGCAGAUGGCAGUGGCGAGUCAGCCUGAGGAAACCUGAAGUGGAGCUUCAGAAAUACACUGCAAAAUCCCUAAGGUCCAAGAAGAUCUGCAGGAUGCGUCAGGCCUGCCUACUUGGUGUGGGGGUAUCUCCUUGAAAGUUGCCUCACUGUGAUUUCUAGGUACAGUCGCCUGUGUUUUUCAGGACUGCACUCUUGCCAGAUGGACUUCCUGGAGAAGCAGAACUGCGCAGCUUCAGAAGCUUCUGGGCUGUGUGUUUCUUUGGGAGUGCUGCGAGUUUUGGAUGUCUGUGUGUGUGUGUGUGUGUGCGCGCGCGCAUGUGUGUGUGGCUGUGUGUAUGUGUGUGUGUCUGCAUGUGUGUAUAAGUGUUGUUUGCUAAAAAAUAUUUGACUCAUGCACUACUGCCCUUUGUUUCCGAGUUGCGCCACCUUCUGGUGCACCUGUUUGUGUGGCUCUGCUUGGGCUAUGGGGCUGUGUGUUUUUUGAUUUUUCGUAGUUCCUGAAUCUGCAGUGAACUGGGAUCUGACUAAGACCAACAGGGAUCCAAAUCACCUUCCCAUGCAAAACAACUAAUCUUCAAUAAAAAAACAGGAGCAUAUCACACCCAAGAGCAGACACCUCCCAGUGCCUCAUUGUCCUGCAGCCAACUCAGUGCUAGACCCUAGCAGUCCUGUCCGUAGGGCUUCUUAAAUCCACCUCGAAUUCGAUUUUUAGCCAAGCAGUUGCUUUACUUUGUGAGGCGGGCACUCUUCCAUCAUUUUGGGAUUUCAUUCUGGGACAAAGAGUGUGAGCAACAGUUAAGUUAGAUACGGAUGAGGGUACAAUCUGUUGAGGUGUGGAUGGGGCCCCACAACUUCAGCUGCAAAAAAGUUGCAGACAGGUGACACAGAAACUGCUGCCAACUCCAUCCCUGCAUUCCCUUCAUUGCACAAGCUAUCCACAAUGUGGCCCGGUGCCCAAGUUGGAGGACUCCAACUUGAGGGGAACAAAAAAAAAAAGUUUAACUGAAAAUAAAAAAGAGUUUAACUCUGUGAGAUGAAACCA
Molecule: long non-coding RNA, 3154 nt
Organism: Chlorocebus sabaeus (green monkey)
Lineage: Eukaryota; Metazoa; Chordata; Mammalia; Primates; Cercopithecidae
Source: RefSeq, a predicted model, not a curated record